GAGGUCUGUGGUGAUUUUAAUAUUCUUUGCCUAAUUCUUUUUGGAUUAUGUGGGCAUUUUUGGUCACUACCUCUUCUGAGACCC
This 84-nucleotide small nucleolar RNA is filed under the name Pelusios castaneus (West African mud turtle). RNAcentral describes it as "Small nucleolar RNA SNORD11 (ENSPCEG00000020159.1)". It matches the Rfam family "Small nucleolar RNA SNORD11". Lineage: Eukaryota; Metazoa; Chordata; Testudines; Pelomedusidae. The record is from Rfam by way of RNAcentral.